CUUAAGCUUCAAAAUGCCACUUUUUUCUUUAAUGUUUCUGAUAUUCUUUAGUUAGUCUUGUUAGGGUCUUUGGGAUUUAAUUUAGCUCCUUCUACAAGGGAUCUUGGAGAAAGAGAAAGGAGAGAGGGAGUGAGGAGGAAAGGAGAGAAAGAGAGGAAAAAGGUUCUUGAGGGAAGGUUUUAAAGAAAAGGGGAAAUCUUAAGAGAGAAAAGGAAAAAAAAAAAAAUUCUAUUGCCC
Molecule: unclassified non-coding RNA, 237 nt
Filed under: Hevea brasiliensis (rubber tree)
Lineage: Eukaryota; Viridiplantae; Streptophyta; Magnoliopsida; Malpighiales; Euphorbiaceae
Source: RNAcentral